GGGCCCGCACAAGCGGUGGAGCAUGUGGUUUAAUUCGAUGAUACGCGAGGAACCUUACCAGGGCUUAAAUGUAGUAUGACCGGUCUGGAAACAGACCUUCUCUUCGGAGCAGAUUACAAGGUGCUGCAUGGUUGUCGUCAGCUCGUGCCGUGAGGUGUUAGGUUAAGUCCUGCAACGAGCGCAACCCCUAUUCUUAGUUGCCAGCGGUUCGGCCGGGGACUCUAAGAAGACUGCCAGCGCAAGCUGAGAGGAAGGUGGGGAUGACGUCAAAUCAUCACGGCCCUUACGUCCUGGGCUACACACGUGCUACAAUGGUAUAGACAGAGGGCAGCCACCUGGCGACAGGGAG
This 349-nucleotide ribosomal RNA is filed under the name uncultured bacterium. RNAcentral describes it as "bacterial SSU rRNA". It matches the Rfam family "Bacterial small subunit ribosomal RNA", at positions 917 to 1267 of the family's 1533-position model. The record is from RNAcentral.